GGAGAAGCCCUGACAAAACGACAUCGGACGGGGGUUCAAUUCCCCCCAUCUCCACC
RNAcentral lists this non-coding RNA (56 nucleotides) under compost metagenome. The record is from RNAcentral.